GACGAACGCUGGCGGCGUGCUUAACACAUGCCAGUCGAACGGAAAGGCCCUGCUUGCCGGGUGCUCGAGUGGCGAACGGGUGAGUAACACGUGGGUGAUCUGCCCCUUACUUUGGGAUAAGCCUGGGAAACUGGGUCUAAUACUGGAUAGGACCAUGCUGUAGGUGGUGUGGUGGAAAGAUUAGUUUCGGUAAGGGAUGAGCUCGCGGCCUAUCAGCUUGUUGGUGGGGUAAUGGCCUACCAAGGCGUCGACGGGUAGCCGGCCUGAGAGGGUGGACGGCCACAUUGGGACUGAGAUACGGCCCAGACUCCUACGGGAGGCAGCAGUGGGGAAUAUUGCACAAUGGGCGCAAGCCUGAUGCAGCGACGCCGCGUGGGGGAUGACGGCCUUCGGGUUGUAAACUCCUUUCAGCCAUGACGAAGCCUUCGGGUGACGGUAGUGGUAGAAGAAGCACCGGCUAACUACG
RNAcentral lists this ribosomal RNA (466 nucleotides) under uncultured bacterium. RNAcentral's name for it is "partial 16S ribosomal RNA". It matches the Rfam family "Bacterial small subunit ribosomal RNA", at positions 28 to 505 of the family's 1533-position model. The record is from RNAcentral.